Molecule: ribosomal RNA, 2308 nt
Filed under: Salinispora tropica CNS416
Lineage: Bacteria; Bacillati; Actinomycetota; Actinomycetes; Micromonosporales; Micromonosporaceae
Description: bacterial LSU rRNA
Rfam family: Bacterial large subunit ribosomal RNA
Source: RNAcentral
GGGGAGCCGUAGCGAAAGCGAGUCUGAAUAGGGCGUCAGAGUCGCGUGUCCUAGACCCGAAGCGGAGUGAUCUAGCCAUGGGCAGGCUGAAGCGUGGGUAAGACUGCGUGGAGGGCCGAACCCACCAACGUUGAAAAGUUGGGGGAUGACCUGUGGUUAGGGGUGAAAGGCCAAUCAAACUCCGUGAUAGCUGGUUCUCCCCGAAAUGCAUUUAGGUGCAGCGUCGUGUGUUUCUUGCCGGAGGUAGAGCACUGGAUGGUCUAGGGGGCCUACAAGCUUACUGAAAUCAGCCAAACUCCGAAUGCCGGUAAGUGAGAGCGCGGCAGUGAGACUGCGGGGGAUAAGCUUCGUAGUCGAGAGGGAAACAGCCCAGAUCACCAGCUAAGGCCCCUAAGCGUGUGCUAAGUGGAAAAGGAUGUGGGGUCGCAUAGACAACCAGGAGGUUGGCUUAGAAGCAGCCAUCCUUGAAAGAGUGCGUAAUAGCUCACUGGUCAAGUGGUUCCGCGCCGACAAUGUAGCGGGGCUCAAGCACACCGCCGAAGCUGUGGCAUUCACGCGUGUACUUCGCAUGGCCUUUUGGGGUUGUGUGUAGGUGUGUGGAUGGGUAGGGGAGCGUCGUGCCGGGGGUGAAGCAGCCGAGUGAUCGAGUUGUGGACGCGGUGCGAGUGAGAAUGCAGGCAUGAGUAGCGAAAGAAGGGUGAGAAACCCUUCCGCCGGAUGACCAAGGGUUCCAGGGCCAGGUUAAUCCGCCCUGGGUGAGUCGGGGCCUAAGGCGAGGCCGAGAGGCGUAGUCGAUGGAUAACGGGUUGAUAUUCCCGUACCCGCGAAGGAGCGUCCCUGAUGAACCUCGUUGUGCUAACCAUCCGAUCUUGGUGUGGUCUUCGGACUGUGCUGGGGGAGCGUGGGAACCUGGCGGGUAGUAGUCAAGCGAUGGGGUGACGCAGGAAGGUAGCUGAGCCCGGCCGGUGGUUGUGCCGGGGUAAGCGUGUAGGCUGUGUCGUAGGUAAAUCCGCGGCGCGUGUGGCUGAGACGUGAUGCCGAGCCGAUUCAGGUGAAGUCAGUGAUCCUAUGCUGUCGAGAAAAGCCUCUAGCGAGUUCCGAGCGGCCCGUACCCUAAACCGACACAGGUGGUCAGGUAGAGAAUACCAAGGCGAUCGGGUGAACUGUGGUUAAGGAACUCGGCAAAUUGCCCCCGUAACUUUGGGAGAAGGGGGGCCGGAGACGUGAAGGCACGUGCUGCUGGAGCGUUGUAUGGCCGCAGAGAGCAGGGGGAAGCGACUGUUUACUAAAAACACAGGUCCAUGCGAAGAAGUAAUUCGAUGUAUAUGGACUGACGCCUGCCCGGUGCUGGAACGUUAAGGGGACCUGUUAGUCUUUCGGGGCGAAGCGGAGAACUUAAGCGCCAGUAAACGGCGGUGGUAACUAUAACCAUCCUAAGGUAGCGAAAUUCCUUGUCGGGUAAGUUCCGACCUGCACGAAUGGCGUAACGACUUCCCCACUGUCUCAACCACAGGCCCGGCGAAAUUGCAUUACGAGUAAAGAUGCUCGUUACGCGCGGCAGGACGGAAAGACCCCGGGACCUUUACUAUAGCUUGACAUUGGUAUCUGAAUUAGCUUGUGUAGGAUAGGUGGGAGCCUGUGAAGUGUGCACGCCAGUGCAUGUGGAGGCAAUCUUGAAAUACCACUCUGGUUGGUUUGGGUAUCUAACUUCGGACCGUUAUCCGGUUCAGGGACAGUGUCUGGUGGGUAGUUUAACUGGGGCGGUUGCCUCCUAAAGGGUAACGGAGGCGCCCAAAGGUUCCCUCAGCCUGGUUGGCAAUCAGGUGUUGAGUGUAAGUGCACAAGGGAGCUUGACUGUGAGACUGACGGGUCGAGCAGGGACGAAAGUCGGGACUAGUGAUCCGGCACUGGCAUGUGGAAGCGGUGUCGCUCAACGGAUAAAAGGUACCCCGGGGAUAACAGGCUGAUCUUCCCCAAGAGUCCAUAUCGACGGGAUGGUUUGGCACCUCGAUGUCGGCUCGUCGCAUCCUGGGGCUGUAGCAGGUCCCAAGGGUUGGGCUGUUCGCCCAUUAAAGCGGUACGCGAGCUGGGUUUAGAACGUCGUGAGACAGUUCGGUCCCUAUCCGCCGUGCGCGUAGGAUACUUGAGAAGGGCUGUCCCUAGUACGAGAGGACCGGGACGGACGAACCUCUGGUGUGCCAGUUGUCCCGCCAGGGGCACGGCUGGUUAGCUACGUUCGGAAGGGAUAACCGCUGAAAGCAUCUAAGCGGGAAGCCUGCUUCAAGAUGAGGUAUCCCACCCACUUUGU